This 480-nucleotide ribosomal RNA is filed under the name uncultured bacterium. RNAcentral's name for it is "partial 16S ribosomal RNA". It matches the Rfam family "Bacterial small subunit ribosomal RNA", at positions 28 to 523 of the family's 1533-position model. The record is from RNAcentral.
GACGAACGCUGGCGGCGUGCUUAACACAUGCAAGUCGAGCGGAAAGGCCCUUUCGGGGGUACUCGAGCGGCGAACGGGUGAGUAACACGUGAGUAAUCUGCCCCUGGCUUUGGGAUAGCCACCGGAAACGAUGAUUAAUACCGGAUACGACCACUUCUCGCAUGGGAUGGUGGUGGAAAGUUUUUUGGCCAGGGAUGUGCUCGCGGCCUAUCAGAUUGAUGGUGAGGUAAUGGCUCACCAUGGCUUCGACGGGUAGCCGGACUGGGGGGGUGGCCGAGCACGCUGGGGCGUGGCCGCUGCCCAGACUCCUACGGGAGGCGGCAGUGGGGAAUGUUGGACAGUGGGGGGAAGCCUGAUCCAGCAACGCCGCGUGAGGGAUGACGGCCUUCGGGUUGUAAAGCUCUUUCAGCAGGGACGAGGCGCAAGUGACGGUACCUGCAGAAGAAGCACCGGCCAACUACGUGCCAGCAGCCGCCGUAA